GCCAGGUUAGCCAAGCGGUACGGCGACCGCCUCGAGAUCAAAACAAGGUAGCGGUUGUGCUUUCAGCACUCAGGGGUUCAAAUCCCUUACCUGGCG
Molecule: transfer RNA, 96 nt
Filed under: Nitrosotalea sinensis
Lineage: Archaea; Thermoproteati; Nitrososphaerota; Nitrososphaeria; Nitrosotaleales; Nitrosotaleaceae
Description: Candidatus Nitrosotalea sinensis tRNA
Rfam family: tRNA
About the family: Transfer RNA (tRNA) molecules are approximately 80 nucleotides in length.
Source: Rfam by way of RNAcentral